RNAcentral lists this transfer RNA (69 nucleotides) under Sphaeroderma sp. BMNH 846647. RNAcentral's name for it is "tRNA-Gln". The record is from RNAcentral. Lineage: Eukaryota; Metazoa; Arthropoda; Insecta; Coleoptera; Chrysomelidae.
UAUGCUUUAGUAUAUGAUGUACAUUAAUUUUUGACGUUAAGGGGGUCAGUUAAAUUCUGUCGGGCAUAA